Molecule: ribosomal RNA, 460 nt
Filed under: uncultured bacterium
Lineage: Bacteria
Description: partial 16S ribosomal RNA
Rfam family: Bacterial small subunit ribosomal RNA
Source: RNAcentral
CCUACGGGAGGCUGCAGUGAGGAAUAUUGGUCAAUGGACGAGAGUCUGAACCAGCCAAGUAGCGUGAAGGAUGACUGCCCUAUGGGUUGUAAACUUCUUUUAUAUGGGAAUAAAACGUUCCACGUGUGGGAUUUUGUAUGUACCAUAUGAAUAAGGAUCGGCUAACUCCGUGCCAGCAGCCGCGGUAAUACGGAGGAUCCGAGCGUUAUCCGGAUUUAUUGGGUUUAAAGGGAGCGUAGGUGGAUUGUUAAGUCAGUUGUGAAAGUUUGCGGCUCAACCGUAAAAUUGCAGUUGAAACUGGCAGUCUUGAGGACAGUAGAGGUGGGCGGAAUUCGUGGUGUAGCGGUGAAAUGCUUAGAUAUCACGAAGAACUCCGAUUGCGAAGGCAGUUCACUGGACUGCAACUGACACUGAGGCUCGAAAGUGUGGGUAUCAAACAGGAUUAGAUACCCCUGUAGUC